UUGGCCUACGGGGGGCAGCAGUGGGGAAUAUUGCACAAUGGGGGAAACCCUGAUGCAGCGACGCCGCGUGAGUGAAGAAGUAUUUCGGUAUGUAAAGCUCUAUCAGCAGGGAAGAAAUACUGACCUUACGGUCAGCAGACGGUACCUGACUAAGAAGCCCCGGCUAACUACGUGCCAGCAGCCGCGGUAAUACGUAGGUGGCAAGCGUUAUCCGGAUUUAUUGGGUUUAAAGGGUGCGUAGGUUGUGAGGUAAGUCAGCGGUGAAAUGCCCCCGCUCAACGGGGUGAAGUGCCAUUGAUACUGCC
This 305-nucleotide ribosomal RNA is filed under the name uncultured bacterium. RNAcentral describes it as "bacterial SSU rRNA". It matches the Rfam family "Bacterial small subunit ribosomal RNA", at positions 334 to 637 of the family's 1533-position model. The record is from RNAcentral.